GGUUCUUGAUAACUUGUAAAUCAUUGAAAACUGGAUUUCUGUGCCUGCUCCAAAAGUGCUUUCCUCUAAUUUCAUAUAUUUAGAAGCUCUGUUGUAAUUUGGACAAGUCUUGAUUUCACAUGAAAGUCAGGAUUCUUAUCUGCAAAAUGGUGCAUCAAUAGAAUCAUUUUUUUUUCAUUUGCGAAAUGUGUUGGAGAUUCAAAACAACCACUCUAGUAUCUCCUCCAAGAAAGAUCCAAAUGGGAUUACAAAGAGUCACUCAGGUCUGAAGUGACUGAACAACAAUCACUAGAAUGUUUUCUCAGUAUGUAUAUUCUGUGCCUCCCCCAGUAGUUUAGAAAUUCCUCAAAGGCAGAAUCCAUGCAUUGUAUUUCUCUUAGGUCCCCUGCAAUUCUACAGCAUUAGGAUUUUUCUCUCCUCUCAGAAACCUGGGGAAAGAAUGCAAUUCUGAAUGUUUCUCAUUGACUUGAAUAAUGGAUACCAUCACCAGUGUUUUCAAAGAAUGUUGGGAAUAUAAGAUAAAUUCACUAUUCUGAUCCUAGGUAAAGAGUAGCAAGAGUAUGCAGCAGGAAAAACUUAGAACACUUAUGGGCAUGCCAAGGCUAUCUUGUCUUCUCAUUCAAAAGUAGAUUUAGAGUGUGAAUUUUUCUUUUAUAAAUAAUCCUUCUAAUUUUGUUUUCCAGAAUGACAAAUCUCCAGGGCGUUCUGCAAGUCGGUCAAGUAACAUAUCUAAGGCUAUCCAGCACAAUGUCAGAAUGAAAGAAGAAAUAACUAUCGAGUGUAAAGUCCUCCAAGUGCCUCUUUUUGCAUGUGACAUUGUGCUAAUCACAUCAAGGUCUUAAAGACUGAAGGAAGGUCUCCUAAAAGAGACUGAUUAUCAUUCACCAGGGGUUGACUUAACUAGCCAUGGAAGAAAAACCUCAUCAGUGAGACCUCAUAUCUGGUGAAGUCGGAUGGUUUUA
Molecule: long non-coding RNA, 962 nt
Filed under: Monodelphis domestica (gray short-tailed opossum)
Lineage: Eukaryota; Metazoa; Chordata; Mammalia; Didelphimorphia; Didelphidae
Description: lncRNA (ENSMODG00000047043.1)
Source: RNAcentral